Long non-coding RNA from Cyprinus carpio (common carp), 439 nucleotides. RefSeq lists it as uncharacterized. The transcript is spliced from 3 exons. The record is from RefSeq and is a predicted model, not a curated record. Lineage: Eukaryota; Metazoa; Chordata; Actinopteri; Cypriniformes; Cyprinidae.
GCAGCUCUUGUUUUGCAGCCAUCACCCCAAAAAAAUAAAGUAGCAGCCAAAAAAGUGACCCUGGACAGGAAGUGGGGGGAAAGGGUCCUAAAAAAUUAGAAAUGCUGGAAGAGUGGUGGACUCUGCCCAUAUUGCAGUGAAAAAACUAAGUGCAUUGGGGUAUGUCCCAAUUCUAUUUUUCGCCAAGAAAGAUAAGGCCUCUGGAAAGUGGGUGGCUGAUGUUGUGACCCAUCUGACACCCACUGAGGAUAACCUAAAAAUUGUGGCCACCAUGAGAAAGGCCUACAAUUUUUUAUUGAUCAAAGAAGGGAACUCCACAACGACAUUGCCAGAGCCCCAGCAUCAGACUCAACCCGAGCCCCAGGAUCAGGCUCAACCCGAGCCCCAGCAUCAGGCCCAGCUCAAGCACCAGCAUCAGGCCCAGCAUCAGGCCCAGCCC